Molecule: ribosomal RNA, 603 nt
Filed under: uncultured bacterium
Lineage: Bacteria
Description: bacterial SSU rRNA
Rfam family: Bacterial small subunit ribosomal RNA
Source: RNAcentral
GGACCCGCACAAGCGGUGGAUGAUGUGGAUUAAUUCGAUGCAACGCGAAAAACCUUACCUACCCUUGACAUGCCAGGGAUCCUGCUGAGAAGUGGGAGUGCUCGAAAGAGAACCUGGACACAGGUGCUGCAUGGCUGUCGUCAGCUCGUGUCGUGAGAUGUUGGGUUAAGUCCCGCAACGAGCGCAACCCUUGUCGUUAAUUGCCAUCAUUCAGUUGGGCACUUUAACGAGACUGCCGGUGACAAACCGGAGGAAGGUGGGGAUGACGUCAAGUCCUCAUGGCCCUUAUGGGUAGGGCUUCACACGUCAUACAAUGGUCGGUACAGAGGGUUGCCAAGCCGCGAGGUGGAGCCAAUCCCAGAAAGCCGAUCGUAGUCCGGAUCGCAGUCUGCAACUCGACUGCGUGAAGUCGGAAUCGCUAGUAAUCGUGGAUCAGCAUGCCACGGUGAAUACGUUCCCGGGUCUUGUACACACCGCCCGUCACACCAUGGGAGUGGGUUUCACCAGAAGUAGGUAGCCUAACCGCAAGGAGGGCGCUUACCACGGUGGGAUUCAUGACUGGGGUGAAGUCGUAACAAGGUAGCCGUAGGGGAACCUGCGGCU